CGAGAAAUCGGGGCUAAUACCGGAUGGGUCAUCGGACCGCAUGGUCCGAGGAUGAAAGGCGCUUCGGCGUCGCCUGGGGAUGGCUUUGCGGUGCAUUAGCUAGUUGGUGGGGUAAUGGCCCACCAAGGCGACGAUGCAUAGCCGACCUGAGAGGGUGAUCGGCCACACUGGGACUGAGACACGGCCCAGACUCCUACGGGAGGCAGCAGUAGGGAAUCUUCCACAAUGGACGAAAGUCUGAUGGAGCAACGCCGCGUGAACGAUGAAGGCCUUCGGGUCGUAAAGUUCUGUUGUAAGGGAAGAACUAGUGCCGCAGGCAAUGGCGGCACCUUGACGGUACCUUGCGAGAAAGCCACGGCUAACUACGUGCCAGCAGCCGCGGUAAUACGUAGGUGGCAAGCGUUGUCCGGAAUUAUUGGGCGUAAAGCGCGCGCAGGCGGCCUCUUAAGUCUGAUGUGAAAGCCCCCGGCUCAACCGGGGAGGGCCAUUGGAAACUGGGAGGCUUGAGUAUAGGAGAGAAGAGUGGAAUUCCACGUGUAGCGGUGAAAUGCGUACAGAUGUGGAGGAACACCAGUGGCGAACGCGACUCUUUGGCCUAUAACUGACGCUGAGGCGCGAAAGCG
Molecule: ribosomal RNA, 623 nt
Filed under: Exiguobacterium mexicanum
Lineage: Bacteria; Bacillati; Bacillota; Bacilli; Caryophanales
Description: bacterial SSU rRNA
Rfam family: Bacterial small subunit ribosomal RNA
Source: RNAcentral